This 313-nucleotide long non-coding RNA is filed under the name Elaeis guineensis (African oil palm). RNAcentral describes it as "long non-coding RNA (EGUI_LNC029793)". Lineage: Eukaryota; Viridiplantae; Streptophyta; Magnoliopsida; Arecales; Arecaceae. The record is from RNAcentral.
CAAGUGCUGAACUUGUGACUCUGGUUGCUUGAACUAAGAGAUGUUAUGACUCAGCAAUUACAACUCAUCAUCAGAAGAGAAACUUUGGUUUACUCAUCAUUUCACGACCUCCAGUGCAACCUGAUGGAAAAACGACAUCCAAAGUAAAGAGAUGAAAUCCAAAAGAUGUAGUCUGAUCUACAACAUUGCACCUUACCAUGUCUACCAGGUUGGACUGCAAUUAAAGCAAAAUUAUCAUAUAAUCUAAUCUCCGAUCGAAUACGAAGCAAAACACUUGACUUCAACAAAGUGAAGGCCACAAAAGUAAUGCUUC